CACAGUGUAGCUUAAUCAAAGCAUCUGGCUUACACCCAGAAGAAUUCAUAGCAAAUGAACACUCUGA
This 67-nucleotide transfer RNA is filed under the name Mus baoulei (Baoule's mouse). Its description in RNAcentral is "tRNA-Val". It matches the Rfam family "tRNA". From Rfam's summary of the family: Transfer RNA (tRNA) molecules are approximately 80 nucleotides in length. The record is from RNAcentral. Lineage: Eukaryota; Metazoa; Chordata; Mammalia; Rodentia; Muridae.